GCUCAGCGCGGGCGGUGAGCGGGGGGUAAUGCGGAGGUGGGUGGUUGGGCCGGGAUGAUGUGGAGUAAAGGGCGCGUAGGGGGUUUGUAGCGUCGGUGGUGAAAACUCAGGGCUUAACUCGGAGCUUGCUUCCGAGACGGGCAGACUAGAGGUAUGCAGGGGAGAACGGAAUUCCUGGUGUAGCGGUGAAAUGCGCAGAUAUCAGGAGGAACACCGGUGGCGAAGGCGGUUCUCUGGGCAUUACCUGACGCUGAGGAGCGAAAGUGUGGGGAGCGAACAGGAUUAGAUACCCUUGUAGUC
Molecule: ribosomal RNA, 300 nt
Filed under: uncultured Thermococcus sp.
Lineage: Archaea; Methanobacteriati; Methanobacteriota; Thermococci; Thermococcales; Thermococcaceae
Description: bacterial SSU rRNA
Rfam family: Bacterial small subunit ribosomal RNA (bases 52-300)
Source: RNAcentral